UACGUAGGGCGCGAGCGUUGUCCGGAAUUAUUGGGCGUAAAGAGCUCGUAGGUGGCUUGUUGCGUCUGCCGUGAAAGCCCGUGGCUUAACUACGGGUCUGCGGUGGAUACGGGCAGGCUAGAGGCUGGUAGGGGCAAGCGGAAUUCCUGGUGUAGCGGUGAAAUGCGCAGAUAUCAGGAGGAACACCAGUGGCGAAGGCGGCCAUCUGGACGAGUACUGACGCUGAGACGCGAAAGCGUGGGGAGCAAACAGG
This 253-nucleotide ribosomal RNA is filed under the name uncultured bacterium. Its description in RNAcentral is "partial 16S ribosomal RNA". It matches the Rfam family "Bacterial small subunit ribosomal RNA", at positions 524 to 776 of the family's 1533-position model. The record is from RNAcentral.